RNAcentral lists this non-coding RNA (27 nucleotides) under Mus musculus (house mouse). The record is from RNAcentral. Lineage: Eukaryota; Metazoa; Chordata; Mammalia; Rodentia; Muridae.
UAGCCCCGACUAGCCCAGGACUCACAG